This is a long non-coding RNA of Passer montanus (Eurasian tree sparrow), 2187 nucleotides long. RefSeq lists it as uncharacterized. Lineage: Eukaryota; Metazoa; Chordata; Aves; Passeriformes; Passeridae. The record is from RefSeq and is a predicted model, not a curated record. The transcript has 7 exons.
UCAACAGGCUCUGAGUGGGAAUCCUGCCGUGUUCCUGAAAGCAUGAGAUCAUUUUCUCCAUGAUUGUGCUGUAGCAUGGACUGUUUGAGAGGAUUAUCCAUUGCUGAAGGGGUGUGUGACUGUAGGCUGGAGUCAUAAAAAAAUGCAAAAGCAACUGGUGUGAGAGCCUAAUGGAACAUAAAGCUGUCAAUAUCUCUCCUUUGAUUAAAAUAAUUACUUUGGUCAUGCAAAGGCAGAACACUGUGUACAAAGUUCACAGACUUCAGGACCUCAACCAAAACUGAGAACUAAUUAACUCAAGGAGAAACAGUUUUGCCUGAAAUACCUCAGGACAUAUAAAAUACCAUUCAUUCUCAAGAUUUUAGUAAGAUUAGAUCUGAUGAGCAUCGAGGCACUCUUGAGUCCAAAAGCUUGUGUCUGUGUUUCCCUCCACGUUUGUUGUCCCAAUAGAUAUUUAUUCUUCCCAGAACUACCUUUAAGCUAAACACUAAUUUCUUGAUAACAAAAUGGGAAAGUAACAGCCAAAAAUAACUGAAGGGUCCCCCUGUUAUCAGAGGGCUCAGACCUUUUCUUUCUGCUAAAGGAAAGAAAAUAGAAAGUUUUAUUCUUGAGUCAGGUUAUUUUGCUGUGAUUUCUUGCUUGCUUGACCUAAUCAGAAUGCCUAGUGGCAAGCAGUGUCAGCUGAGGCAGUAAGUUAAACAGCUGAAACCUUCACUGUCUGGCAGUGUUCUAUCCUCAGUAGGGGCUUCUGGUUUUACAGGCCUGGAGGGUAAGUUCCUGCACUUGAAAAACAGUUCAAUAGAAUCUCUGGAGGCAACAAGUUAAUGACCAAAGAUUUUAAUGGUCUACAACAAUUGAUGAGUGUAAAUUUAAGCUCUGUGGGACUUAUCUGAGAGAAACUGAUGAAAAGGUACUAUGUGAAGGUAGCUGUUCCAGAGAUAAUGUCCACUAGGUAUUGCACUAUGUCUGAACUUGAAGAGUAAAGCAAGGCUGUAAAAUCACCGACAAUGUUCCUCAGGAUGCAGCCAAGAAAGGAAAUAUUUAUGGACUGCUUAGGUAGCUUUGGAUCAGAUGAUGCUGAAGUGCAUUUUUCAAAUGGUUGCUGAAGAAGCCAUUCCUGUAAUCUUCUCCUGCUACGAAAGUUUGGCUAUGCAAAUCCAGUACAAAUACCUGCAGAUGUGAGCUGAAAUCCACUUUAUUGCGUUACUGUCAAUAGGAAACAAAAGAGUGUAAAAGCUGCUACUCUCUUCCUGCAGAUUUCCAAUCUUACAUCCUGUUCUUUGCCAUGCUGACAUGAUCAAACCUGGAAUGAGACUGUUAAAGACAUUGUUUCCAGCUGCCUCUCUCAUCACAAUCUCACAGGAAUGCUGGGAAAUAUACAGUUAGGGAUAUCUAAACCAGGUGAAGCUGUUUGCAAAUUCAAAUUCCUUCCCUGGUAACAUAGUAGCAUCCACAGUGCAGAAAAGAAUAAGGGCAGUGUUCUGGAAACAGUUGCUCAGCAUAGCCUCUGGAAAGGGAAAUCCAACCCCAAUGGGCGGCUGGAAUUCUCUGAAGGUGCCUCUAAGCACAAGAAGAAAUGACAACCAUUUGGCUUUUAUUUUUUAAAAAUUUUCCUGAAAAUUAUGAAGAAUGGAUAAAGUGAAUGCAGAACUGUUAUUUUAAAAAUAUAUCAAUAAUUAACCUAUUGUGAAUCAGGGACACUUUUUGAAACAAUAGGAAAUCAGUUUCAGCUAAACAUAAGGAAGGUCGUAUUAAAUAAAAACACAGAAGAAUAAAGCUUGCUUGAUUUUGUUAUUUCCUAAAUGGUAAAUAGUCCUGCUUUUUGGGGUUUUUUUCUCUCUCUCCUCCCUGUAUAAAGAAUUUGCAAGUCUAGGCAAGUCUGUUUGGCAGCAAGUGUUCAGUCAUGCUUGUAAUGAUAGUUCUAAUCACAAUUCAUGAGGUAUCAUGCAUUCAGGUAUGAUUCAUCCAACAAGAAAAUAUUCUGAAAAGAAGCAAAAAUAAAUUAAAUGGAGUCUGGUAUUCUAAAGGUUGAAGAAAUGAAUAGACUUGAGGUCAUUUCCCUUCUAUUCAUAGCAGAGUUAUUAGAGGACACAUGGAGAUUUGGGAGAGAUCCCAUCAAGGGGGGCAAAGGAAUUGAAACACUAGAAGCAAGGACAUUUGAUGCCAUGUAAUAGAUUUUUCUAUAUU